This 480-nucleotide ribosomal RNA is filed under the name Golovinomyces arabidis. Its description in RNAcentral is "eukaryotic LSU rRNA". The stretch from base 102 to 255 matches the Rfam family "5.8S ribosomal RNA". The record is from RNAcentral. Lineage: Eukaryota; Fungi; Ascomycota; Leotiomycetes; Helotiales; Erysiphaceae.
UGUCUUGCGCGGCGACCGGCUUAGUGCUGGCUCGUGUCCGCCAGAGACCCAACCUAAUUCGUGUUAUCGUGUGGUCUGAGGAAAAAGUAUUGAAUUGUUAAAACUUUCAACAACGGAUCUCUUGGCUCUGGCAUCGAUGAAGAACGCAGCGAAAUGCGAUAAGUAAUGUGAAUUGCAGAAUUUAGUGAAUCAUCGAAUCUUUGAACGCACAUUGCGCCCCUUGGUAUUCCGAGGGGCAUGCCUGUUCGAGCGCCGUCACCCCCCCCUCAAGCCGCGCCGUGUGUGUGGUUUUGGUGUUGGGGCUCGCCAGUCCGGCGGCCCUUAAAGACAGUGGCGGUGCCGUCGUGGUCUCUACGUGUAGUACGAUUCUCGCGACAGAGCCGCAGCGGCAGCUCGCCAAUUAAUCCUUUUAUUUUUUAAGGUUGACCUCGAAUCAGGUAGGGCUACCCGGUGAACUUAAGCAUAUCAAUUAGCGGAGGA